Small nucleolar RNA from Podarcis muralis (Common wall lizard), 130 nucleotides. Ensembl annotates it as small nucleolar RNA SNORA77. The record is from Ensembl. Lineage: Eukaryota; Metazoa; Chordata; Lepidosauria; Squamata; Lacertidae.
GCAGGCUCACUCUGUGCCUGACUGCAAUAUUCAGUCACGGUGCUUUUUAGGCCUGCUAGAGUAAUCCAGGAUGUUGUGAACACUUUCCCUACUUGUGGAAGUCCGUUUCAAUUGAUCUUGGUACAGAUGA